Molecule: ribosomal RNA, 253 nt
Filed under: uncultured bacterium
Lineage: Bacteria
Description: partial 16S ribosomal RNA
Rfam family: Bacterial small subunit ribosomal RNA
Source: RNAcentral
GACGGAGGGUGCAAGCGUUGUUCGGAAUCACUGGGCGUAAAGCGCGUGUAGGCGGUUUGAUAAGUCGAAUGUGAAAGCCCGAGGCUCAACCUCGGAAGUGCAUUCGAAACUGUAAGGCUUGAGUACGGGAGAGGGAAGUGGAAUUCCUGGUGUAGAGGUGAAAUUCGUAGAUAAUAGGAGGAACACCGGUGGCGAAGUCGGCUUCCUGGAUCAAUACUGACGCUGUGGCGCGAAAGCGCGGGGAGCAAACAGG